CCUACGGGAGGCAGCAGUGGGGAAUAUUGCACAAUGGGGGGAACCCUGAUGCAGCGACGCCGCGUGGGUGAGGAAGUACUUCGGUAUGUAAAGCCCUGUCAGCAGGGAAGAAAAUGACGGUACCUGACUAAGAAGCCCCGGCUAACUACGUGCCAGCAGCCGCGGUAAUACGUAGUGGGCAAGCCUUAGCCGGAUUUACUGUGUGUAAAGGUAGCGGAGAAGGCUGGCCAAGUCUGAUGGGAAAGGCCGUGGGUCAAACCCGGGACUGCAUUGGAGACUGGUAUGCUGGAGUGCCGGAGAGGAAAGCGGAAUUCCUAGGGUAGCGGUGAAAUGCGUAGAUAGUAGGAGGAAAACCGGUGGCGAAGGCGGCUUGCUGGACGGUAACUGACGUUGAGGCUCGAAAGCGUGGGGAGCAAACAGGAUUAGAUACCCCUGUAGUC
This 440-nucleotide ribosomal RNA is filed under the name uncultured bacterium. RNAcentral's name for it is "partial 16S ribosomal RNA". It matches the Rfam family "Bacterial small subunit ribosomal RNA", at positions 338 to 795 of the family's 1533-position model. The record is from RNAcentral.